AUGCAGAGUUUCUUCCUAAGCAGUGUUACCCAGAUGCUGCCUUUGCACCAGGCCCUAAUUAGCUGCAAGCUGGAAUUUCAUCCCCAGAGAUCCACCCCCUCGAUUCUCAAAGCUCCAGCACCUUUUUACUCAAGCAUCUUCAUAAAGCUAGAAAAUGCACUGACUGACUUCACAAGCUCACAUUGCUGUGCACAAUGCCCUGUGUGAAAUAAAGCCCUGGAAUUACAGUGGAAGUUUGUUCUG
This 243-nucleotide long non-coding RNA is filed under the name Parus major (Great Tit). RNAcentral's name for it is "lncRNA (ENSPMJG00000015908.1)". Lineage: Eukaryota; Metazoa; Chordata; Aves; Passeriformes; Paridae. The record is from RNAcentral.